UGGGGAAUAUUGGACAAUGGGCGAAAGCCUGAUCCAGCCAUGCCGCGUGAGUGAUGAAGGCCCUAGGGUUGUAAAGCUCUUUCACCGGUGAAGAUAAUGACGGUAGCCGGAGAAGAAGCCCCGGCUAACUUCGUGCCAGCAGCCGCGGUAAUACGAAGGGGGCUAGCGUUGUUCGGACUUACUGGGCGUAAAGCGCACGUAGGCGGAUUGUUAAGUGAGGGGUGAAAUCCCAGGGCUCAACCCUGGAACUGCCUCUCAUACUGGCAAUCUCGAGUCCGGAAGAGGUGAGUGGAAUUCCGAGUGUAGAGGUGAAAUUCGUAGAUAUUCGGAGGAACACCAGUGGCGAAGGCGGCUCACUGGUCCGGUACUGACGCUGAGGUGCGAAAGCGUGGGGAGCAAACA
RNAcentral lists this ribosomal RNA (402 nucleotides) under uncultured prokaryote. Its description in RNAcentral is "bacterial SSU rRNA". It matches the Rfam family "Bacterial small subunit ribosomal RNA", at positions 355 to 774 of the family's 1533-position model. The record is from RNAcentral.